AAACUGAAUAAGGCUUGGGACAGAUCAAAUUCUCUGUUCGAAGGUGAAUGAAAAAGGAUUCUGCUUAUCACAGCACUGCUAUCACUAUUUGCGAAUCAUUUUGGCCUUUGACACUCAUGAUUCUGAUAAAAUUAACGAGGAGGAAUGUACAGAAGGACAUCAUUUAAAUUUCUAAAUUUUAUUCAGUUUGAAAUGGAUAACUCGAAACAGAUUAAUUUACUCAAAAUUAUUCUGGAAACAAACCAACACCAAUAAAGAUACUAAUUACAACAUAUGAAAAAAAUAAAAUA
Long non-coding RNA from Coccinella septempunctata (seven-spotted ladybird), 290 nucleotides. RefSeq lists it as uncharacterized. The transcript is spliced from 2 exons. Lineage: Eukaryota; Metazoa; Arthropoda; Insecta; Coleoptera; Coccinellidae. The record is from RefSeq and is a predicted model, not a curated record.